AUUAGCAGUCGGGGUGUUAGAAGCAAAUUGCCGCAGGCCACAUUAUAUGAUAGGAACAGAUGGCAUCACAAGGUGCAAGGUGUGCGACACAAACGCUUGCGGGGACAAAAAAGAUGUUUGCCCUUCGAACUAUUGUCCUAAUGAUGACAAGAUUUUAGAUAAAUGCCGUAUCAAACAGUAUACUAUAGGUCGUGACGGGAUCACGGUAUGUCCAGUAUGUGACAAAGACGCGUGUAGAAAAACACAUAGUCACGGACAUGAAGUUAUUGUAGCAUAAUUAUGACAUAAAUGUAAUAAACCACUAUGAAGUUUA
Ruditapes philippinarum (Manila clam) is the source of this 313-nucleotide long non-coding RNA. RefSeq lists it as uncharacterized. The transcript is spliced from 2 exons. Lineage: Eukaryota; Metazoa; Mollusca; Bivalvia; Venerida; Veneridae. The record is from RefSeq and is a predicted model, not a curated record.